Molecule: ribosomal RNA, 253 nt
Filed under: uncultured bacterium
Lineage: Bacteria
Description: partial 16S ribosomal RNA
Rfam family: Bacterial small subunit ribosomal RNA
Source: RNAcentral
UACAGAGGGGGCGAGCGUUGUUCGGAAUUACUGGGCGUAAAGGGCGCGUAGGCGGCCUUCUAAGUCGAACGUGAAAUCCCCGGGCUCAACUGCGGGUCUGCAGUCGAUACGGGCAGGCUAGAGUUCGGUAGGGGAGACUGGAAUUCCUGGUGUAGCGGUGAAAUGCGCAGAUAUCAGGAGGAACACCGAUGGCGAAGGCAGGUCUCUGGGCCGUAACUGACGCUGAGGAGCGAAAGCAUGGGGAGCGAACAGG